GAGGAGGAGGAGGAUGGAGGCGGUGGUGUUCGUCUUCUCUCUCCUCGAUUGUUGCGCGCUCAUCUUCCUCUCGGUCUACUUCGUAUCCUUGCCUGAGGCAGGCGGACGCCUUGCCGGGGGACACGGCUGAGGGUGGGCCAGUUGGGCACCCGGGCAGGUGUGUGGGACUAGGGAGGCGCCCGGCGGCGGGCAUGGGCUCCCUGGGAGCUGGCCUGGCCGGGGCGGUGGCGCGGGCCCCGGAGCGGGUAGGAGAGGCUGGUUGCCCUACCCGACGGGCCCUGCUGCCCUGCACGCACUUGCCCUGCCUGGGCUGCUGGCCGCCCCUCACUCGGGUCCGAGUGGGCCUCUCCGGGCGCGCCCCGUCUCGGCCUGCCCGCCUGCUCUCCGCUCGUCCCCGCGGCGCCCGGACCAGCCCUGCCUGAGCCACGGCCGCCCUCGGGAGAGAAGCGUCGCCGUUUUUCUGGGAGAGGCCCUGCGCCGUGCUCUUCGUCGGAUAUUGGGGGUCCCAAGGGCGGUCGCUUGCGACAGUCGGGUGCCGGGAUAAGUGCGGGCCAUUUGCCUCCUCCUGUUCCCCACGCAACACCCCCGGCACCCGCCCCUUUGUUCUGGCGGGUGUUAGUACUUGCAGGGACCUUUCACAUCCAGGAGUUGACUCAUUCGCCAAAGGAGCGAAGUUGCUUCCUUCACUGUGCCGUUUUGUAUGGGUAAUUCCAGAAUUGAUUGGCCAUACCAUUGUCACUGUAUUACUGCUCAUUUCAUUGCACUGGUUCAUCUUCCUUCUCAACUUACCUGUUGCCACUUGGAAUAUAUAUCGAUACAUUAUGGUGCC
This 829-nucleotide small RNA is filed under the name Pan troglodytes (chimpanzee). RNAcentral's name for it is "processed transcript". The record is from RNAcentral. Lineage: Eukaryota; Metazoa; Chordata; Mammalia; Primates; Hominidae.